CGGCCUUGAAAUACCACCCUUUAAUGUUUGAUGUUCUAACGUGGACCCGUGAUCCGGGUUGCGGACAGUGUCUGGUGGGUAGUUUGACUGGGGCGGUCUCCUCCUAAAGAGUAACGGAGGAGCACGAAGGUUGGCUAAUCCUGGUCGGACAUCAGGAGGUUAGUGCAAUGGCAUAAGCCAGCUUGACUGCGAGCGUGACGGCGCGAGCAGGUGCGAAAGCAGGUCAUAGUGAUCCGGUGGUUCUGAAUGGAAGGGCCAUCGCUCAACGGAUAAAAGGUACUCCGGGGAUAACAGGCUGAUACCGCCCAAGAGUUCAUAUCGACGGCGGUGUUUGGCACCUCGAUGUCGGCUCAUCACAUCCUGGGGCUGAAGUAGGUCCCAAGGGUAUGGCUGUUCGCCAUUUAAAGUGGUACGCGAGCUGGGUUUAGAACGUCGUGAGACAGUUCGGUCCCUAUCUGCCGUGGGCGCUGGAGAACUGAGGGGGGCUGCUCCUAGUACGAGAGGACCGGAGUGGACGCAUCACUGGUGUUCGGGUUGUCAUGCCAAUGGCACUGCCCGGUAGCUAAAUGCGGAAGAGAUAAGUGCUGAAAGCAUCUAAGCACGAAACUUGCCCCGAGAUGAGUUCUCCCUGACCCUUUAAGGGUCCUGAAGGAACGUUGAAGACGACGACGUUGAUAGG
Molecule: ribosomal RNA, 679 nt
Filed under: Shigella sonnei
Lineage: Bacteria; Pseudomonadati; Pseudomonadota; Gammaproteobacteria; Enterobacterales; Enterobacteriaceae
Description: partial 23S ribosomal RNA
Rfam family: Bacterial large subunit ribosomal RNA
Source: RNAcentral